This 729-nucleotide ribosomal RNA is filed under the name uncultured bacterium. Its description in RNAcentral is "bacterial SSU rRNA". It matches the Rfam family "Bacterial small subunit ribosomal RNA", at positions 771 to 1501 of the family's 1533-position model. The record is from RNAcentral.
AACAGGAUUAGAUACCCUGGUAGUCCACGCCGUAAACGAUGUCGACUUGGAGGUUGUGCCCUUGAGGCGUGGCUUCCGGAGCUAACGCGUUAAGUCGACCGCCUGGGGAGUACGGCCGCAAGGUUAAAACCCAAAUGAAUUGACGGGGGCCCGCACAAGCGGUGGAGCAUGUGGUUUAAUUCGAUGCAACGCGAAGAACCUUACCUACUCUUGACAUCCAGAGAACUUAGCAGAGAUGCUUUGGUGCCUUCGGGAACUCUGAGACAGGUGCUGCAUGGCUGUCGUCAGCUCGUGUUGUGAAAUGUUGGGUUAAGUCCCGCAACGAGCGCAACCCUUAUCCUUUGUUGCCAGCGGUUAGGCCGGGAACUCAAAGGAGACUGCCAGUGAUAAACUGGAGGAAGGUGGGGAUGACGUCAAGUCAUCAUGGCCCUUACGAGUAGGGCUACACACGUGCUACAAUGGCGCAUACAAAGAGAAGCGACCUCGCGAGAGCAAGCGGACCUCAUAAAGUGCGUCGUAGUCCGGAUUGGAGCCUGCAACUCGACUCCAUGAAGUCGGAAUCGCUAGUAAUCGUGGAUCAGAAUGCCACGGUGAAUACGUUCCCGGGCCUUGUACACACCGCCCGUCACACCAUGGGAGUGGGUUGCAAAGAAGUAGGUAGCUUAACCUUCGGGAGGGCGCUUACCACUUUGUGAUUCAUGACUGGGGUGAAGUCGUAACAAGGUAACC